RNAcentral lists this unclassified non-coding RNA (1571 nucleotides) under Leishmania donovani. RNAcentral describes it as "gene:LdHU3.35.5370(CDS-product:Splicing_factor_3B _subunit_10_(SF3b10)_putative)". The record is from RNAcentral. Lineage: Eukaryota; Euglenozoa; Kinetoplastea; Trypanosomatida; Trypanosomatidae.
CCCACCCAAGCAGCACACGUACACAUACACGCGCCACAGCAAAAUUUCGCAAACGCGUGACGUCGACUGACUUGAAGCGCCUUUGUGCUUCACUCUCUGAAGUAUCGAACGAAGCAGUUCAGACUACGUUGCCAUGGGCGACCCGUUUGUGCGGCCGGGGCUGGAGUAUGCUCCGCAUGUGGAGCAGGUUCUGCUGAAGCACGAGGGAACCAUGACGCUGGAGACCACCAAGGAUGACUGGAUGCGGUACCAGCACCGCGACACACUUGCGACUAUCAUUGAGCACCGCGACCAGCUUGAGUACCUGUGUGUUGCAGAGAACCUUCCCCCUGCCAAGAUGGAGAGGGUUUUGCUAGAGCGCAUGGUGGACCCGAUCGCAAAGCGCUGAUGAGCGCAUUAGCUGCGGGACGCUUAUUCUUUGGAUGCGUGGGGCUGCCCUUGAGGCCACGCAUGCGUACAGCGUACAUGAUCGCCGCUGUGUGCACCUUCACCUGCUUGUUUGCCGGAUGUGUGACCGUAUGACGUGCCAGAGGAGAGCCGUGCGCCACGUAUGGGCUCGAUGGCUUGAGCCGCAGACUAAGAGUACACUUCCCCUGCAGCGAGAAACAGAAACGAGGCGAAAAGUGAGGCAACUGCGAAGGGAACGGAGAGGAGGCUUAGCGUGCCCGCUUGGUGGUCAGGAGGAGCGCAGGUAAUCGUAUUCGUCAGCUGCAACAGCCGGGGGCAGAGUAUGUAUUCAUGCAUACAUUAUAUAUAUAUAUUUGUGCGUGUAUGAAAGGCAGCUCGUGAUAGAUCGGCCUAGGUACGCCUGACAGAGCUGUCUCUGCACCGCUCCUCCGGCUCACUGCUUUUUCCUCUUCUACCCGGCAUGCCCCCCCCCCCCCCCACUCUGUCCCUGCCCACUGCCGAACCACUUCUAGUGGUGACAGGAUCAACGCACCCUACGACGUAGCGAAGCUAGAACGGUGCAUCGCGAUCGAUGACGGCCGGUCAGGUCCUGAUAGGCUUCAGAGCAACCUGCGACAACGCACAGGUUUCGUACUGUUCACAAAAUGGGCAGAAUGCCAGCGUGACUCGAGCGUACCUCAAAGUGUCUAGUUGCGAGGAAUCUGAGCCCCACCCGAUGGGGGGGGUGCACCAGGUGGCGACCAGCAUGAUGAGGGAGCGGCUGGUGCGUAGUGCUCGAGGCAGAGGGCCGUGCUCAGAGGACUGUGCCGGCGCACGGCUGUAAAGCGUCUUUCGGGCUGCCUCGCACUACGCGACUGGGGCCUGUGACAGGCCCGUGGAUGAUGGGGUGGCGUUGGACUCGUAUGACAGAGAACAGACACGUUGAGAAAAAAAGUUGCCGGCGUGGCUUUCCAGUGAUUUCUGCCGACGCACGCUGCUCUGCAGUCGGGUAGUGCAGUGACGCUUGGACUCUCCUGCUCUCAUUACUGCCUCUUCACCUUCUCUUGUCUGCGCUGAUACUCGCACCGUGUUUCUGUGUUCUGGCUCUCUGCUUUUCGUCCUUCUCCAUCGUCACGCGCGCGCCCAAACACACACACACACACACACGCAUGCACAACGGCAAG